Rattus norvegicus (Norway rat) is the source of this 3763-nucleotide non-coding RNA. The record is from RefSeq and is a predicted model, not a curated record. Lineage: Eukaryota; Metazoa; Chordata; Mammalia; Rodentia; Muridae.
UGGUGGUGGUGGUGGUGGUGGUGGUGGUGGUGGUGAUGUUGUUGUUGUUGUUUGAACCCUCUUCCUGUUCUCCAUCUAACUCCAGGUUCCCAUUGCUUCUGGGUUCUUCCAUACACACCCCUCCACCCGUCCCUGGUUACCCCCACCCCAUUCUUCAGCUCUCACCACAGAACUUUAUAGUCAGGGGAUUAUCUGGCCGAAUCCCUUUAUUUAAAGAGCAAGGUCGCUGGAAUCCAAGACAUGACUUAGCUUGGUGACCUUGGCCCGGAUGCCUCAGGCAGAACCGGGCCUGCAGUGAAAGUCUCUUGGCACUGGGUUCCUUGGGCUUUGCCAGCUCCAGCUGAGUGCCCAGAUAAUUUCACCUCCUCAUGAGGAACACACCAAAUCUCUUCCCGGCUUCCCAGGCCUCCGUGACGACUACCUCCUCUACCAAAGCUCACUCAUUCCCCCAGCAGGUACCAGGAUUCAUAGGGACCCAAGUCCACCUCAGAAAACUCCCUCCCUCCCCACCCCUACCCAAAUCCUCUACAACUUCCAGCUUCCCCAGUGUUUCCUCCCCACACCCCUGUGGCCUGGCUUGGCUCUGCCCUCUUCCUUGCCAUGUGUCUGCUUCUGCCUGCUCACCUCGGGCUUUCUUUCCACUCAUGAAGCCAUCCCAGACUCCACCUCUCCUACACUGCAGUGUGCCCUGUGGUCUUGGGUCCUGGCAGCUGAGGCAGCAUUCUGGCCCCAUCAGUCUCCGGCCAUGGAGCCAAAUUCCUUCUAGAAAGGCAGUGUUGUGAUGAGAGGGAUAUUGAAAAUGGCAUGGGUAAGAACUCGGUGUCAAGAGCUCCUGAGCGCUGGGAUGACCCAGCUUGUGACCUGCAAACCUGCAAUGUUGCCUUUGGACCCAGGAUGGGAGGAGUAGUGCCUUCCUUCCCAGUGGAGAUUCCACUCACCGAGAGUAAGCUCCUUCCCACCGCCCACCCUCUCAUCUCCAGUGAAUCCUUUAAACUGUUGGUUCACCUGCUCUGCUUGAUGCCUGGCUCAGACCCUAUCCCUGCAGACAAAAGGCUCCUGCGUGAUUGAUGAUGACAGUGACCUGCCACUGACCCCCUGCUCAACCUGGGUCCUGCUGCUACACACAAGGCCCUCGGUUCAGCAGCCCCCACGGUUUGAAAUGCCGAUACCUGCUUCUUGGACUGUUGAUUUUCCUCAUCUUGCCAAGUAGAAUCUUACUGAGAGGAUCCAGUCGGGUGAUGGGAAAGCUCUUAGCCCAGUGUUGUUACAUUGUAACUACUCAGUAAAUGAUAGGGUGGGGGAGGAUAACCCUGUGAAGGCAGCGGUUGUACACAAGGACCAAUCCCACCCUGCUUCCUUCCAGCAAUGAUGGCAUACCAAGCAUGCCUCCCCACUAUCAUCCUGCCCACAGCUUUCUACUUUGCUGCCUCCCUGCCCGGAGCUUCUCUAGCUGGCUCUUAGGGCCGGCCAGGCCCCUGGAGCAGCCUCCUCCUCAGCGCUUACUGUCAUUGGUUACUUGGGGUAUUUGCUGACUGGGCUCGCUCUCCUUGCAGAAGAAUCUGUCACCACUAAACCACCAAGCAUUCUCAUGCCAUAACUUUAAAGCCAUUUAUUUACUCAUUUACUUCCACUUAUUUGCCAAGUCUUCAAGAAAAGAAAAGAGAGAAAAAAAGAAAAAGAAAAGAAAGAAAAAAGACAGAGAGAAAGAGGAAAAAACUGAUUGAAGUGACUUCCUGAUGAAGCGCACAGUGACCACCAGUUGAAAUAAACAACAGGUAAAAGAAAGCCCUCUCAGGCCCCUUGCUGCCAUUUUUAACAGCGACAAUGCAGGUUCUGAAACCUGCAUGGGAAGCAGCCUGGAGCGCAAGAAUCAGGAAUCUGACAGCACCCUCUUGCCGCUGUUUCUGCUUAUGCUGGGUAAACGGUAUUGGAAAAGAAGGGGUGUGCAUGCAAGAAAGCAGAAAAUAGAAAGGUGCAGCAUUUAGCCAGAAAGGAGGUUUGGCCUACCAAAAUCCCAGCCCUGCCAGUCAACCAUCUCCAAGAGUCAGUCUCUCCCCCCCCCCCCCUUUUUCUUCUUCCUCUCUCCCAUACCCCCUCUCUACUUUCUUGUCUCUUCCCUCUCUCUCUGUUUUCCUGCACCUCUCCAACUGUGGAGGACUUCAAUGACAUCAGAAAUAAGAACGAGGGUGUGUGUGGGGGUGGGGGGGUAAAAGCCCAGGAGAAAUGAAAAUUGUAAAGCCAGGCAGAACGGUGCAUGCCAAGGAAUUUUGAGUCCAGCCUGGGCUACAAAGAAAGACCUUGCCUAAAAAGGAAGGGGGAAGGAAAGAGAAAUAAAAUACUCUGAAGGAGGAACGAGACAAGCCUGCUCAAGAACAUCUAAGAACCUUCCACGGACAGCUGGCCUUGGGAAGGCGAUGGGGAGGAGGGGGAUUUCCCAGGCUUUGAUUCCAGAGCGCCUGUGGGACAAGGAAAGUUCCCCUGAAAGAGCCCCACAGAUGUGAAUACAUCUGUACUCCGUUCUUCAUCCCGAACGCUGGCAUCCUGCCGCUGGCAACGGAGCGCUGUGGGCAGAAGGACGAAGAAAAAGGUCUAAGAACUAAAACAUGGACCCGACACCAGAAGGGCUCCUCUCUUCUCCCUUGAGCGAAAUGAGCUGAGGGAGAAAAAGGGGGGAGGGGGAGCGUGGUCCAAGCCUACUGAGUCGCUGAGUGAAAUUACAGGGCCCUGCGAGGGAUGAUUAACGGCCCGCAUGGUUUUCUGCUUCAUAGCCAUUACUCACUGCAAACCUGGGGCUUCUCGGUUACAUAGCCCGGCACAGGCCGACCAUUUUUUCCAUUGACUGAAAACACAUUCUGACUGAAAACAAACUUUGGAUCCCCGAGGCUUGGCAGGCCCUGGGUCCUUCUCCAUAUUUAAUCAACGGGAAGCUAAACACUUUCAAUCUACGAUGGCUCAUUUGGACGGGGUCUCGGGGCUUUUGCUCGGUGCCAGAUAUAAUAACUCUCCUCUCUCUUUUCUAAGGCCUAUUUUAUAAUUUUGCUGUUUUUCAAUGUCAAGCCCAUCUUUUGAAGAAUUUUUAUUGGAUUUCCUGCUAGACUUCAACAAGGAUUUUUCUUGCUUUGGCAGAAAUAUCAAGCAGAAGAGGGGAAAAACUCAAUCAUCGUCUUGGAAAGUCAGGAUGGUGCUCGCGCAUUGGGCCGGAGGAGGCGGGGUGGCUUUGUCUGUUUGCACACAGACAGGUUUCUAGAAGGCUGGAGUCCCCAUCACCAGCUUCCAGGGUCCCUCUACCUUCAGAAUCACGGGGUGAAAGUUGACAAGGCAGGGUGAGGGUGACGGACGGGCACAAGUAGAAAGUUGGAGCUGGACAAGAAGACUCUGAGUAUGGCAGCCAGCCAGAGGGUAGGUAGGCACAGCUCUAGGAGAUCUGGGCACAGGCUAUGACACCCCUGGAUGUGACUGUUUGUAGAAAUCAAACACCAAACAUCCUUCGGUGUUCGGGAACACCGAAGGAUGGGGAGACAUUCCCCAUGUGAGAGACAGCAAGCUGCCUCUUCCAAGACCGGGUGGGGAGGCAUGGCCCAGAGGUGUCCAUUCACCACACUGUCUGCUCCCAGCUCAAGGCAACAGCAGAGGCUUGAUUUUUCCUUUAUAAAGCUUGUUCCCCAGGAGAAGCAGCUUGCCAAUGAAUGACAGCUUUUGUUUGCUCAUGUUUUCCUCUCCUCCCAGAGUCAACUCUCAGAAUAUACCAGAAUGUUCCUUCACA